Long non-coding RNA from Oncorhynchus keta (chum salmon), 1025 nucleotides. RefSeq lists it as uncharacterized. Lineage: Eukaryota; Metazoa; Chordata; Actinopteri; Salmoniformes; Salmonidae. The record is from RefSeq and is a predicted model, not a curated record. The transcript has 3 exons.
AGAAUAGCUGAAUUUGUGCACUCCCUCAAAUUGUUUGGAGAAAAUAUUUAUAUUAUAUUCAGCUUUGUUCAAUUGUAUUCUUCAUACUAUAAAAUUUUGCCACGGAAUUCUAAGCAAAAUCUUGUCUGCUAAUGGAGGGUAGCCCACAGCCAGAUCAGGACCGCACAUAAAGACAACUCCGAGUAUGGUAUUAUGUUCUUCUGAAAUAGAAUACAUUUUUCUUCAUAUCAUGUUCGUUACACCCGUCUAAAAUGAAUGAUGGAUUUAUUGUGAAGGUGUAGGCUAUAUUACAUGGAUUUAUUGUGAAGGUGUAGGCUAUAUUACAUGGAUUUAUUGUGAAGGUGUAGGCUAUAUUACAUGGAUUUAUUGUGAAGGUGUAGGCUAUAUUACAUGGAUUUAUUGUGAAGGUGUAGGCUAUAUUACAUGGAUUUAUUGUGAUGGUGUAGACUAUAUUACAUGGAUUUAUUGUGAUGGUGUAGGCUAUAUUACAUGGAUUUAUUGUGAUGGUGUAGGCUAUAUUACAUGGAUUUAUUGUGAUGGUGUAGACUAUAUUACAUGGAUUUAUUGUGAAGGUGUAGACUAUAUUACAUGGAUUUAUUGUGAAGGUGUAGACUAUUACAUGGAUUCAUUGUGAAGGUGUAGACUAUAUUACAUGGAUUUAUUGUGAAGGUGUAGACUAUAUUACAUGGAUUUAUUGUGAUGGUGUAGACUAUAUUACAUGGAUUUAUUGUGAUGGUGUAGACUAUAUUACAUGGAUUUAUUGUGAAGGUGUAGACUAUUACAUGGAUUCAUUGUGAAGGUGUAGACUAUAUUACAUGGAUUUAUUGUGAAGGUGUAGACUAUAUUACAUGGAUUUAUUGUGAAGGUGUAGACUAUAUUACAUGGAUUCAUUGUGAAGGUGUAGUAGACUAUAUUACAUGUAUUGAUUGUGACGGUGUAGACUAUAUUACAUGGAUUUAUUGUGAAGGUGUAGACUAUAUUACAUGGAUUUAUUGUGAUGGUGUAGACUAUAUUACAUGGAUUUA